AUUGAACGCUGGCGGAAUGCUUUACACAUGCAAGUCGAGCGGCAGCACGGGGGCAACCCUGGUGGCGAGCGGCGAACGGGUGAGUAAUACAUCGGAACAUGCCCAGUCGUGGGGGAUAACACUUCGAAAGAAGUGCUAAUACCGCAUACGUCCUGAGGGGGAAAGCGGGGGAUCGCAAGACCUCGCGCGAUUGGAGUGGCCGAUGUCAGAUUAGCUAGUUGGUGGGGUAAAGGCCUACCAAGGCAACGAUCUGUAGCUGGUCUGAGAGGAUGAUCAGCCACACUGGGACUGAGACACGGCCCAGACUCCUACGGGAGGCAGCAGUGGGGAAUUUUGGACAAUGGGGGCAACCCUGAUCCAGCCAUUCCGCGUGAGUGAAGAAGGCCUUCGGGUUGUAAAGCUCUUUCGGCAGGAACGAAACGGUGAGCUCUAACAUAGCCUGCUAAUGACGGUACCUGAAGAAGAAGCACCGGCUAACUACGUG
This 484-nucleotide ribosomal RNA is filed under the name uncultured bacterium. Its description in RNAcentral is "partial 16S ribosomal RNA". It matches the Rfam family "Bacterial small subunit ribosomal RNA", at positions 30 to 507 of the family's 1533-position model. The record is from RNAcentral.